AUUUUUAAUUUUUUUUAACAGAAAACUUUCAUGCUCUGAGCACUGGAGAGAAAGGAUUUGGUUCUAAGGGUUCCUGCUUUCAGAGAAUUAUUCCAGGGUUUAUGUGUCAGGGUGGUGACUUCAUACACCAUAAUGGCACUGGUGGCAAGUCCAUCUACAGGAAAUUUGAUGAGAACUUCAUCCUAAAGCAUACAGGUCCUGGCAUCUUGUCCAUGGCAAAUGCUGGAUCCAACACAAAUGGUUCUCAGUUUUUCAUCUGCACUGCCAAGACUGAGUGGUUGGAUGACAAGCAUGUGGCCUUUGGCAAGGUGAAAGAAGGCAUGAAUAUUUGUGGACGCCAUGGAGUGGUUUUGGGUUCAGGAAUGACAAGACCAGCAAGAAGAUCGAUCACCGCUGCUGAUGGUGGACCACUCUAAUAAGUUUGACUUGUGUUUUAUCUUUUGUUUUUGUUUGUUUUCUGAGACAGAGUCUCGCUUUUGCCAGGCUGGGGGGCAGUGGCACGAU
Cebus imitator (Panamanian white-faced capuchin) is the source of this 504-nucleotide long non-coding RNA. RefSeq lists it as uncharacterized. The record is from RefSeq and is a predicted model, not a curated record. Lineage: Eukaryota; Metazoa; Chordata; Mammalia; Primates; Cebidae. The transcript has 3 exons.